RNAcentral lists this ribosomal RNA (468 nucleotides) under uncultured bacterium. RNAcentral describes it as "partial 16S ribosomal RNA". It matches the Rfam family "Bacterial small subunit ribosomal RNA", at positions 28 to 507 of the family's 1533-position model. The record is from RNAcentral.
GACGAACGCUGGCGGCGUGCUUAACACAUGCAAGUCGAACGGAAAGGCCCUGCUUUUGUGGGGUGCUCGAGUGGCGAACGGGUGAGUAACACGUGAGUAACCUGCCCUUGACUUUGGGAUAACUUCAGGAAACUGGGGCUAAUACCGGAUAGGAGCUCCUGCUGCAUGGUGGGGGUUGGAAAGUUUCGGCGGUUGGGGAUGGACUAGCGACUUAUCAGCUUGUUGGUGGGGUAGUGGCUUACCAAGGCUUUGACGGGUAGCCGGCCUGAGAGGGUGACCGGGCACAUUGGGACUGCGAUACGGCCCAGUCUCCUACGGGAGGCAGCAGUGGGGAAUAUUGCGCAAUGGGCGGAAGCGUGAUGCAGCAACGCCGCGUGCGGGAUGACGGCCUUCGGGUUGUAAACCGCUUUCGCCUGUGACGAAGCGUGAGUGACGGUAAUGGGUAAAGAAGCACCGGCUAACUACGUG